This 175-nucleotide ribosomal RNA is filed under the name uncultured Acidobacteriota bacterium. RNAcentral describes it as "uncultured Acidobacteria bacterium partial 16S ribosomal RNA". It matches the Rfam family "Bacterial small subunit ribosomal RNA", at positions 216 to 390 of the family's 1533-position model. Lineage: Bacteria; Pseudomonadati; Acidobacteriota. The record is from RNAcentral.
CGUCUAAAGAGGAGCCUGCGGCGGAUUAGCUAGUUGGUAAGGUAAUGGCUUACCAAGGCGAUGAUCCGUAACCGGCCUGAGAGGGCGGUCGGUCACACUGACACUGAUAUACGGGUCAGACUCCUACGGGAGGCAGCAGUCGGGAAUUUUGGGCAAUGGGCGAAAGCCUGACCCA